UCACAUUUAUUCAAUACAAUAAAACAUUUAAAAGUUCAACAACCAUUCAUAAAAAGAGAUCAACGCUAAUUUGAAAACUAGAUAAAUGAUCCAUCCAUAAAAAACAUCUACAUUUUUUCAAACUCCUCACUAAUUAGCUUUUUCCGUUCAUCCACAAAUGAUCUAUGUGAUUUCUUGUGUGUCUCCCGAAAACAUAAAUGUAAGAUGCAUAUCCAUUCUUUUCCUUCUACAAAAUAAAAAUUAAUCUGAAAAAAAUGACAAAGUCAAAGAUAACACUUAAAUCAAACUGAUUAAAAAGAAGUAAAACACAAAAACAUACUGGAGAUGAAUAAGCUUACGGAGAACUAUU
This 349-nucleotide long non-coding RNA is filed under the name Brassica napus (rape). Its description in RNAcentral is "long non-coding RNA (BNAP_LNC009416)". The record is from RNAcentral. Lineage: Eukaryota; Viridiplantae; Streptophyta; Magnoliopsida; Brassicales; Brassicaceae.